This 66-nucleotide transfer RNA is filed under the name Naupactus xanthographus (South American fruit tree weevil). RNAcentral's name for it is "tRNA-Pro". The record is from RNAcentral. Lineage: Eukaryota; Metazoa; Arthropoda; Insecta; Coleoptera; Curculionidae.
CAGGAAAUAGUUUAGUAAAAUUUUAAUUUUGGAGAUUAAAGAUAAGAAUAGAUUUCUUUUUCCUGA